RNAcentral lists this ribosomal RNA (253 nucleotides) under uncultured Eubacteriales bacterium. Its description in RNAcentral is "uncultured Clostridiales bacterium partial 16S ribosomal RNA". It matches the Rfam family "Bacterial small subunit ribosomal RNA", at positions 524 to 776 of the family's 1533-position model. Lineage: Bacteria; Bacillati; Bacillota; Clostridia; Eubacteriales. The record is from RNAcentral.
UACGUAUGGUGCAAGCGUUAUCCGGAUUUACUGGGUGUAAAGGGAGCGCAGGCGGCACGCUAAGCCUGAUGUGAAAACCCGCGGCCCAACCGCGGGAGUGCAUUGGGAACUGGCGAGCUAGAGUACCGGAGGGGCAGGCGGAAUUCCGUGUGUAGCGGUGAAAUGCGUAGAUAUACGGAGGAACACCAGUGGCGAAGGCGGAUUGCUGGACAGUAACUGACGCUGAGGCGCGAAAGCGUGGGGAGCAAACAGG